UACAGAGGGUGCAAGCGUUAAUCGGAAUUACUGGGCGUAAAGGGCGCGUAGGUGGUUGAUUAAGUUAGAUGUGAAAUCCCUGGGCUUAACCUAGGAAUUGCAUUUAAGACUGACUGACUAGAGUACUGUAGAGGGUAGCGGAAUUUCCGGUGUAGCGGUGAAAUGCGUAGAGAUCGGAAGGAACACCAGUGGCGAAGGCGGCUACCUGGACAGAUACAGACGCUGAGGCGCGAGAGCGUGGGGAGCAAACAGG
This 253-nucleotide ribosomal RNA is filed under the name uncultured bacterium. RNAcentral describes it as "partial 16S ribosomal RNA". It matches the Rfam family "Bacterial small subunit ribosomal RNA", at positions 524 to 776 of the family's 1533-position model. The record is from RNAcentral.